CAGCUGUUAAUAAUUCAGGGGUUGGCAGAAUGGAGACCUAAGAAAACAUUUCCUCCCUCUGCUUUGCCACAACCUUGCUUUCAGAGUGGUCCCUUCCUGAUGGGACACAGCAUCCACAUGUAACAUCAAAAACCCAUGGACAGCAUUGCUGAUGUCUGUUUUUCCCUUUGGCUUGCUGUCUUUUACCUAACUAUAAAAGGAAAACACAUGGGAGUUUUUAAGAGCAGGUUGUGUUUGCUGCUACCUGCCUCAUGUCACCUAUCCGGGAGCUUUCCAGCAGUCUGUUGUUCCACUUACUCUGGUGUGGGAAAGGCACCUUCUGCUGACUCAUCGGUGGAAGAUAAAUGAACUCUUGAUUCCAGCAGUUCACUCUGAUCCUGUUCUUCACGCAGUGGCUUUGCCUGGAUGUCCCUAUAGAGCACCUCCACCUGUGAGACUGUGCCCAGACAGCAGACCCAAAUGCACAGGCCCUGGCAGUCUGCUUUCUGGCCCUGAAGCAAGCCAGAUACCUCCCUGUAAUUUCACAGUUAAGUGGAAGUUGAUCUGGUUGGAAGAAAUCAGCAAACCAAAAAGGGUUACCAAGCCCAAAGAAUGGAAAACAGAAAUAAAACAAACAAACAAACAAAAAAAUCCAAACGGAACCAACACAGGCUACAGAAAUGUUACAGGUAGAGGCGAUUUUUGUCAGAGGAUCUUAUCCAUUAAAAUGUCGAUGGUGUUGCAGACAUCCGUCCAGGAGCCUUUAGCAGCAAUCCCGUUGCCAACGAGAGACAUUCUUACCUUGGAGAGAAUUUCAGGCAGCCACGACCAUCCCCGCCACCAGCUGUGGCUGAGAAUGGAUGUUUAGUAACUCAUCUCCAUGCCUGUUUGAAAAACAGCAUGGGCUGUGGCGGGGCCAGCGGGUUUGACUCUUCAUCUUGCGGAAUCAGACUCCCACUGGCAGCAUAUCUGAUAGAUUGCCAACAGAAGUGGAAUCAGCCCACUGAACGAUGCUCUCUGCAUCUCAUUUGAAUUCCAAAAGGCCUGCUUUUUCCCAUUAAUGUCAGUCGGGAAUAUCAGGGUGGCUCUGAAGUGUAGGAUGAUUACAAAGAAUAGUCACAAAAUGUCUUUCAGUCAAAAGGACCAUUACAAACAAAAUAGUCGGGAGUUACAGUCUAGCCUGCACCACCAUGUUCUUUAAAUUCCCAAUGAAGCUGUAGAAGCAGAUGGGGAUUCUCAACUCUCAUUUACUACGUCUGAGCCACAGUUCUACUGAAAAUUAAUAGUUUCAAAAUUGCCAGUAGCUUUGUCCUGUUAUAUAAAGUAUUUAACGUGCACAGGGUUUGCUCUUUGGGGAACAGACUUACCAGAUUCAGGAAAUAAAAGAUAAAGGAG
Molecule: long non-coding RNA, 1374 nt
Filed under: Gallus gallus (chicken)
Lineage: Eukaryota; Metazoa; Chordata; Aves; Galliformes; Phasianidae
Description: lncRNA (ENSGALG00010004126.1)
Source: RNAcentral